AUACGGAGGAUGCGAGCGUUAUCCGGAUUUAUUGGGUUUAAAGGGUGCGUAGGCUGUGCGUUAAGUCAGGGGUGAAAUGCCGUCGCUCAACGACGGAGCUGCCCUUGAUACUGGCGUGCUGGAGUACGGAUGCCGUUGGAGGAAUGAGUGGUGUAGCGGUGAAAUGCUUAGAUAUCACUCAGAACACCGAUUGCGAAGGCAUCUGACGAAUCCGUCACUGACGCUGAGGCACGAAGGCGUGGGGAUAGAACAGGAUUAGAUACCCUGGUAUUCCACGCCGUAAACGAUGAUGACUAACCGUCGGCGAUAGACAGCCGGUGGCCAAGCGAAAGCGAUAAGUCAUCCACCUGGGGAGUACGUCGGCAACGAUGAAACUCAAAUGAAUUGGCGGG
RNAcentral lists this ribosomal RNA (392 nucleotides) under uncultured bacterium. RNAcentral describes it as "partial 16S ribosomal RNA". It matches the Rfam family "Bacterial small subunit ribosomal RNA", at positions 523 to 917 of the family's 1533-position model. The record is from RNAcentral.